AGGGUAUAGACCCGAAACCCGGUGAUCUAGCCAUGGGCAGGUUGAAGGUUGGGUAACACUAACUGGAGGACCGAACCGACUAAUGUUGAAAAAUUAGCGGAUGACCUGUGGCUGGGGGUGAAAGGCCAAUCAAACCGGGAGAUAGCUGGUUCUCCCCGAAAGCUAUUUAGGUAGCGCCUCGUGAACUCAUCUCCGGGGGUAGAGCACUGUUUCGGCUAGGGGGCCAUCCCGGCUUACCAACCCGAUGCAAACUGCGAAUACCGGAGAAUGUUAUCACGGGAGACACACGGCGGGUGCUAACGUCCGUCGUGAAGAGGGAAACAACCCAGACCGCCAGCUAAGGUCCCAAAGUCAUGGUUAAGUGGGAAACGAUGUGGGAAGGCCCAGACAGCCAGGAUGUUGGCUUAGAAGCAGCCAUCAUUUAAAGAAAGCGUAAUAGCUCACUGGUCGAGUCGGCCUGCGCGGAAGAUGUAACGGGGCUAAACCAUGCACCGAAGCUGCGGCAGCGACACUUUAGUGUUGUUGGGUAGGGGAGCGUUCUGUAAGCCGUUGAAGGUGUCCUGUGAGGGGUGCUGGAGGUAUCAGAAGUGCGAAUGCUGACAUAAGUAACGAUAAAGCGGGUGAAAAGCCCGCUCGCCGGAAGACCAAGGGUUCCUGUCCAACGUUAAUCGGGGCAGGGUGAGUCGACCCCUAAGGCGAGGCCGAAAGGCGUAGUCGAUGGGAAACGGGUUAAUAUUCCCGUACUUGGUGUUACUGCGAAGGGGGGACGGAGAAGG
RNAcentral lists this ribosomal RNA (776 nucleotides) under Salmonella enterica. Its description in RNAcentral is "partial 23S ribosomal RNA". It matches the Rfam family "Bacterial large subunit ribosomal RNA", at positions 704 to 1481 of the family's 2925-position model. Lineage: Bacteria; Pseudomonadati; Pseudomonadota; Gammaproteobacteria; Enterobacterales; Enterobacteriaceae. The record is from RNAcentral.